CUCUGCGGAAUCUUCCACAAUACAGUAACACCACAAAGAAAGCUGACCCCUUUUUCUGAUUGUUUGUGCCUCCUCUUUAAUACAUGUGACUUGUAUGUGGCAGUGCAAGC
Maylandia zebra (zebra mbuna) is the source of this 110-nucleotide non-coding RNA. NCBI's taxonomy places the organism in Eukaryota, Metazoa, Chordata, Actinopteri, Cichliformes, Cichlidae. The record is from RefSeq and is a predicted model, not a curated record.